This 405-nucleotide ribosomal RNA is filed under the name uncultured bacterium. RNAcentral's name for it is "partial 16S ribosomal RNA". It matches the Rfam family "Bacterial small subunit ribosomal RNA", at positions 30 to 526 of the family's 1533-position model. The record is from RNAcentral.
AUUGAACGCUGGCGGCAGGCUUAACACAUGCAAGUCGAACGAGUGGCGGACGGGUGAGUAAUGCUUGGGAAUUUUGCUUAUGGAGGGGGAUAACUACGCGAAACUGUAGCUAAUACCGCGUACUAUAGGAUGAGCCCAAGUGGGAUUAGGUGGUUGGUGGGGUAAAGGCUACCCAAGGCGACGAUCUCUAGCUGGUCUGAGAGAGUGACCAGCCACCAUGGGAAUGAGACCCGGCCCAGACUCCUACGUGAGGCAGCAGUGGGGAAUAUUGCACAAUGGGGGCAACCUGACGCAGCCAUGCCGCGUGAAUGAAGAAGGCCUUCGGGUUGUAAAGUUCUUUCGGUAGCGAGGCGUUAACUGCAGAAGAAGCACCGGCUAACUCCGUGCCAGCAGCCGCGGUAAUAC